RNAcentral lists this long non-coding RNA (471 nucleotides) under Mytilus galloprovincialis (Mediterranean mussel). Lineage: Eukaryota; Metazoa; Mollusca; Bivalvia; Mytilida; Mytilidae. The record is from RNAcentral.
CACCCCUAAAAAAACGUUCCGUCGCAUAAACUGUAUUUUCACUGUAGUUGUUCACGGAUCGUUGUCAAUAUCAUUAAAUUUGGUGCGAUUGUCUAUAAAACCAGGUUCAAUCCACCAUUUUCUUCAUUAUAAAUGCCUGUACCAAGUCAGGAAUAUGACAGUUGUUGUUCAUUCGUUUGAUGUGAUUUAUUUUUUGAUUUUGCCAUUUGAUAAAGGACUUUCCGUUUUGAAUUUUCCUCGGUGUUUUUUUUUUUAUUUUACUCUUUGUGUCUGUGUCUGUAUCAGGCUAUCGAGACCAUUCUGGUGAAUAAAUACAGAAUUAUCUACCUUCACCUUUCAACAAGAUGUAGGGUUAACCACUGUCGAUUCGUUUGGGAAGCAAAAUGAAAUCGAAACAUAAUGUUAAGACUUGCAAUCAGAAAGUCUAUCUCGAGCUUGACAAUAGUCCCCAAUGUCAUUUUAUAGUGAUAG